AGUGGAGGGAGGCUCAUUUCACUCUCAAGUUUCAUACAAGGGAUUUGGGUUAUUCAAUCAAAACCCACCAAUAAUUAGGCCCAAGUUCGAAAAGAUCCAUAUUCCUCUUAAACUGGGACCCAAGCCUCUCCACUCCUCUUUGAAACCUAGCCUAAAUUCAAUUAAAUUUUGAAUUCUUCAGCCCAAGCCUCUUCAGAAUUUCUGGUCUUGGACAAACAUAAAUAAAAUUGUUUGUAAUAGAAAAAGCCAGCACACUUCAAGUACCAGCAGCAGAGGAGAAUCACUGAGCCCGUACAUACAUACCGACCCGGAUAAAAUGGCACGUGAUUCUGCGUUUUGGUUUCGAUUUAUUUGAGUUUGUUAGAAAUGCCCCAUGGUGUGAGGUUUGGGGACUAUGCUUUCUCAAGUGACUCAUAAGCAGUUCGUAUCAGAUCAAAUGGGAAGAUGAAAAAUGCUAGAAUACCCAUAAUUAGACCCUCCUGUUUCUCAUCAUCACAGAAACACAACCUCCCGGUCCCACCAAACCAAACUUUCCUGCCAACACAAGACUCUUUCUCUCAUCCAACUGUUACCUCUUUAUCCUCUGCUCUACAGCAAUACAUCAACUCAGAUAACCCUUCCUAUGGCCAAAAGAUACAUUCCCAUAUUCUCAAAACUGGGUUCAGACCCAACACCAAUAUCUCCAUCAAACUCCUCAUAUUGCAUUUGAAAUGUGGCUAUAUUAAAUAUGCACGCAAAGUGUUUGAUGAAUUACCUCAGACAACUCUUUCUGCUUAUAAUUAUAUGAUUGGUGGGUAUCUUAAACAUGGGUUAGUCGAAGAAUCACUUAGUUUGGUUCGUAGGUUGGUUUAUUCUGGUGAAAAGCCUGAUGGGUUUACAUUUUCUAUGAUUUUAAAGGCAUCUACUUGUGCUUGUGAAGUGCCUUUGCUGUGUAGUUUGGGAAGGCUGGUGCAUGCACAGAUAGUGAAAUUUGAGGUUGAACCUGAUGAUGUUCUUUAUACAGCACUUGUUGACUCGUAUGUUAAGCAUGGGAAGGUUGGUUAUGCGAGGACUGUGUUUGAUAUGAUGUUGGAAAAGAAUGUGAUAUGUUCAACAUCUAUGAUUUCUGGUUACAUGAAUCAAGGCUCUGUGAAAGACGCUGAAGAUAUAUUCAGGAAGACAAUGGAAAAAGAUCUAGUUGUAUAUAAUGCAAUGAUUGAAGGUUACAGUAAAUCAAUUGAAUAUGCUAGGAGAUCAGUUGAGGUUUAUGUUGACAUGCAACGGUUGAACUUUCGGCCUAAUAUAUCUACAUUUGCUAGUGUUAUUGGGGCCUGCUCUGUGUUGGCAGCAUUUGAAAUUGGUCAACAAGUCCAAAGUCAACUUAUGAAGACUGAACUUUUUACUGACAUUAAAUUGGGAAGUGCUCUAGUAGACAUGUACUCUAAAUGUGGACGAAUUGAUGAUGCACGGAGAGUUUUUGACCACAUGCCUGAUAAGAAUGUGUUUUCAUGGACUUCCAUGAUUGAUGGAUAUGGGAAGAAUGGAUUUCCAGAUGAAGCACUUGAGCUUUUUAGCAAGAUGCAAAACAACAGCCACCUUGAACCCAAUAAUGUUACAUUCCUAAGUGCUCUAUCAGCAUGUGGACAUGCUGGGCUAGUUGAUAAAGGGAAGAAAAUUUUUGAGAGCAUGGAGAGAGAUUACUUGAUGAAACCAAAGAUGGAGCAUUAUGCUUGCAUGGUUGAUCUCUUAGGACGUGCAGGAAGUUUAAAGCAAGCAUGGGAUUUUGUAAGAGGGAUGCAUGAAAAGCCUAAUUCUGAUGUUUGGGCGGCUCUGCUUAGUUCAUCUAGGCUGCAUGGUGAUGUUGAGAUGGCAAGCAUAGCUGCAAAUGAACUUUUUAAGUUGAAUGCUGAUGGUCGGCCUGGGGCAUAUGUUGCACUAUCCAAUACUUUGGCAGCUGCUGGGAAAUGGGACAAUGUAAGUGAGCUUAGGGAUGUAAUGAAGGUAAAAGGAAUAUCCAAAGAUACUGGAUACAGUUGGGUUGGAACCGACAUUGCUUUCACUGGUUGCACCCUCUGCCUGCCACCCAUUGUGUCCCUUUACUCCACUUUCAACUUCUUGAUCUGCUUCUUCGCAUACAGCAACGCCACUGCACUGAACUGCUUCCUUCAAUCCUCUCUCUCUCUCUCUAACUUUGCGAAGACAGUUUGAAGGUGAGAUUUGCUAACUUUGCCAAAGAUUUUUAUUUUUAAAAUUUUCUAUGGAUUUAAUCUUCUAAUCCAUUAUGGUUUGGUUAUUUUGAUGAUGAUCUCAGCCACUUCUUGUCCAAACGUUCUUGUAAGUGUGUUAGUCUACAACUCUCGAAUCCAGUUCAUUGUCUUGAUGCAGACUGCAAACAUGAGGGCGAAAAAGGCAGCAAAUGUGACUAAAAUUGCAGCAGUUGGCCCCAUGAAGUUCAGGUUGUACCCAAAAUGAUUUUCCACAUACCAUUUGAUGGUUGGAUCUGGCACAAUUCCUGGCACUUUGAUCGUUGCAUUAAUGUCACCAUACUGUGUCACAAUUAGUCCAUAAACUGUCCAUGCCACUGGGCAGAUAUAGUAAUACCAUGUCCACCACUUGGGGAUUCUCUGAAAGUUCAAAUUGUAAUUGUAUGUGAGGAGAAGUGCUGAUUUUAAAGGUUAUACAAAGCAGUGGAAAUGAAAUUACCGGUUUGGGGAUGAAAAAGCCAGAGAAGAGAGUGAAGAGUGCAUAGAAUGCUGAUGCAAAGAUAGCAGCUGUUUGAUGAUUUGGUGUGAUUGAAACCGUCAUCAUUCCAUAGUAUGUAAAGUAGAGGAAGGAGAAGAAGGUGAUGAAGAAGAACCAGAAGAACUUUGCUACUGUCCAUUGAAAGCUCACCAUCGCAUAUACUAUAAGAGAAUAAUAUGUUGUCUGAACAAAUAUGUAUGGUAUUUCAACAAUCACCUGCAUAACAAUGUUAGAGUUUAAUAGACUUGGACAAGUUCAUAAUAUUUAAUUUGUAACACUUCAAUUGA
RNA transcript from Quercus robur (English oak), 3008 nucleotides. It is a transcript of the gene named pentatricopeptide repeat-containing protein At1g28690, mitochondrial, with no coding region annotated. Lineage: Eukaryota; Viridiplantae; Streptophyta; Magnoliopsida; Fagales; Fagaceae. The record is from RefSeq and is a predicted model, not a curated record. The transcript is spliced from 4 exons.